GGAGACGUGGCCGAGAGGUCGAAGGCACUCCCCUGCUAAGGGAGCAUGCGGGCAAAACUCGCAUCAAGGGUUCGAAUCCCUUCGUCUCCGCCA
This 93-nucleotide transfer RNA is filed under the name Betaproteobacteria bacterium. RNAcentral's name for it is "tRNA-Ser". It matches the Rfam family "tRNA". From Rfam's summary of the family: Transfer RNA (tRNA) molecules are approximately 80 nucleotides in length. Their secondary structure includes four short double-helical elements and three loops (D, anti-codon, and T loops). Further hydrogen bonds mediate the characteristic L-shaped molecular structure. tRNAs have two regions of fundamental functional importance: the anti-codon, which is responsible for specific mRNA codon recognition, and the 3' end, to which the tRNAs corresponding amino acid is attached (by aminoacyl-tRNA synthetases). tRNAs cope with the degeneracy of the genetic code in two manners: having more than one tRNA (with a specific anti-codon) for a particular amino acid; and 'wobble' base-pairing, i.e. permitting non-standard base-pairing at the 3rd anti-codon position. The record is from RNAcentral. Lineage: Bacteria; Pseudomonadati; Pseudomonadota; Betaproteobacteria.